UACGUAGGCAGCGAGCGUUGUUCGGAGUUACUGGGCGUAAAGAGUGCGUAGGCGGUGGCCUAAGUCUGGUGUGAAAUCUCCCGGCUCAACUGGGAGGGUGCGCCGGAGACUGGGUUGCUCGAGUGUGGGAGAGGCAAGCGGAAUUCCUGGUGUAGCGGUGAAAUGCGUAGAUAUCAGGAGGAACACCUGCGGUGUAGACGGCUUGCUGGACCAUGACUGACGCUGAGGCACGAAAGCGUGGGGAGCAAACAGG
RNAcentral lists this ribosomal RNA (253 nucleotides) under uncultured bacterium. RNAcentral's name for it is "partial 16S ribosomal RNA". It matches the Rfam family "Bacterial small subunit ribosomal RNA", at positions 524 to 776 of the family's 1533-position model. The record is from RNAcentral.